CGAUAAAGAACAAGAGCAUGAUGUGAGUCUUUUUUGGUGAUGAUGAGAAACACCGCAUACCAGAAACGUAAAGAAAAUACAUAGAUGUUGAAGGCUCAAUGUAAAAAUAUGGGAAAAAACGAAAACAUCUUGAAAGUUAUAAUGUUCAAAAAUAUAAAAAAAAUUAAAAGAAAAUUUUGACGCUGAAACCGUAAAUCUU
This 199-nucleotide long non-coding RNA is filed under the name Brassica napus (rape). Its description in RNAcentral is "long non-coding RNA (BNAP_LNC026577)". Lineage: Eukaryota; Viridiplantae; Streptophyta; Magnoliopsida; Brassicales; Brassicaceae. The record is from RNAcentral.